ACGAACGCUGGCGGCGUGCCUAAUCCAUGCAAGUUGAGCGCUGAAGGUUGGUACUUGUACCAACUGGAUGAGCAGCGAACGGGUGAGUAACGCGUGGGGAAUCUGCCUUUGAGCGGGGGACAACAUUUGGAAACGAAUGCUAAUACCGCAUAAAAACUUUAAACACAAGUUUUAAGUUUGAAAGAUGCAAUUGCAUCACUCAAAGAUGAUCCCGCGUUGUAUUAGCUAGUUGGUGAGGUAAAGGCUCACCAAGGCGAUGAUACAUAGCCGACCUGAGAGGGUGAUCGGCCACAUUGGGACUGAGACACGGCCCAAACUCCUACGGGAGGCAGCAGUAGGGAAUCUUCGGCAAUGGACGAAAGUCUGACCGAGCAACGCCGCGUGAGUGAAGAAGGUUUUCGGAUCGUAAAACUCUGUUGGUAGAGAAGAACGUUGGUGAGAGUGGAAAGCUCAUCAAGUGACGGUAACUACCCAGAAAGGGACGGCUAACUACGUG
Molecule: ribosomal RNA, 496 nt
Filed under: uncultured bacterium
Lineage: Bacteria
Description: partial 16S ribosomal RNA
Rfam family: Bacterial small subunit ribosomal RNA
Source: RNAcentral